CAGAUUUUCUGUGUGAUACAUUUUUUCAUUUUAAUUGAGUCCCCUCUUCCUCCCCUCCAACUGAUAGCUUUUUAUAACUGUGUGAAAUAUCUAGAGAAGAAUGAAGUAGGCUGAGCUACAUUUUCAAGCUUAACAUUCUUUAGAAAACUAAGAAAAUGCCCAAUAUUUCAACAUUAAGUGUCAAUAGGGGCUAAAUGAUCACUUUAAGAUGUUUUCAGUUUGGAACUUGAAUGUGUGUUUAAUUUUUUGUGAACAGAUUGAUGACUCUUCCGCGUCUAUUUCUCUGGCCCAGCUUACAAAGACUGCCAAUCUGGCUGAAGCCAAUGCUUCUGAAGAAGAUAAAAUUAAAGCAAUGAUGUCGCAAUCUGGCCAUGAAUACGACCCAAUCAAUUACAUGAAGAAACCUCUAGGUCCACCACCUCCAUCUUACACGUGUUUCCGUUGUGGUAAACCUGGACAUUAUAUUAAGAAUUGCCCAACAAAUGGGGAUAAAAACUUUGAAUCUGGUCCUAG
This 513-nucleotide small RNA is filed under the name Pan troglodytes (chimpanzee). RNAcentral's name for it is "retained intron". The record is from RNAcentral. Lineage: Eukaryota; Metazoa; Chordata; Mammalia; Primates; Hominidae.